Molecule: ribosomal RNA, 825 nt
Filed under: Trichoderma koningii
Lineage: Eukaryota; Fungi; Ascomycota; Sordariomycetes; Hypocreales; Hypocreaceae
Description: SSU rRNA
Rfam family: Eukaryotic small subunit ribosomal RNA
Source: RNAcentral
UAAUUCCAGCUCCAAUAGCGUAUAUUAAAGUUGUUGUGGUUAAAAAGCUCGUAGUUGACCCUUGGGCCUGGCUGGCCGGUCCGCCUCACCGCGUGCACUGGUCCGGCCGGGCCUUUCCCUCUGCGGAACCCCAUGCCCUUCACUGGGUGUGGCGGGGAAACAGGACUUUUACUUUGAAAAAAUUAGAGUGCUCAAGGCAGGCCUAUGCUCGAAUACAUUAGCAUGGAAUAAUAGAAUAGGACGUGUGGUUCUAUUUUGUUGGUUUCUAGGACCGCCGUAAUGAUUAAUAGGGACAGUCGGGGGCAUCAGUAUUCAAUUGUCAGAGGUGAAAUUCUUGGAUUUAUUGAAGACUAACUACUGCGAAAGCAUUUGCCAAGGAUGUUUUCAUUAAUCAGGAACGAAAGUUAGGGGAUCGAAGACGAUCAGAUACCGUCGUAGUCUUAACCAUAAACUAUGCCGACUAGGGAUCGGACGAUGUUACAUUUUUGACGCGUUCGGCACCUUACGAGAAAUCAAAGUGCUUGGGCUCCAGGGGGAGUAUGGUCGCAAGGCUGAAACUUAAGAAAUUGACGGAAGGGCACCACCAGGGGUGGAGCCUGCGGCUUAAUUUGACUCAACACGGGAAACUCACCAGGUCCAGACACAAUGAGGAUUGACAGAUUGAGAGCUCUUUCUUGAUUUGUGGGUGGUGGUGCAUGGCCGUUCUUAAUUGGUGGAGUGAUUUGUCUGCUUAAUUGCAUAACGAACGAGACCUUAACCUGCUAAAUAGCCCGUAUUGCUUUUGGCAAGUCCCCGGCUCUUAGAGGGACUAUCGGCUUAAGCCCA